Molecule: long non-coding RNA, 1023 nt
Filed under: Homo sapiens (human)
Lineage: Eukaryota; Metazoa; Chordata; Mammalia; Primates; Hominidae
Description: HSALNT0238328
Source: RNAcentral
UGGAACUCUGGCUUUAUCCCUGGCCGGCGCCUCCCGGCCAAUCCCAGCUGAGGCUGCCUGUGUGUCACAAUGGGGCGCCUGUGGCGUCACGCUGGCCCGCCCCACCCCGUGUGCUCGUCUGGAACCGCCCGUCCUACUUGCUGCCCCAUCGCGAGAGUCCUUCCUCUCCAGUUCGGUCCACCACCUGCCCCCAUGCUCGAUCCUCUGUGGAACCAGGAGCUGUCCCACACCUUAUAGAGGCAUACCUGGGAUGACGGACAAUGACUUGCCCGGGAUCACUUUGCCAAUUGGAAAGGAGGAAAAGUCCCACACCCGUGGCGCUGUCUCCGGAGGGUGCUGCGUCCAAGAGGCCCACCCGCAGGGAUGAGCCUGAGUGCGCGAAUCCAAGCACGAGAAGGGAGCUGGGAAUCUCCCGGUGGCUGGGGACCCCUGCUCCUUCUAGAGCCUCUGCCUCUAGGUCUUUAAUAAAGUAUAUACAAUGUGGCGAUCACAGGGCACGCCCUAAGAAACCUGCACACUAACCUCCCUCUCAGACACUGCUUCUGGAGAGCCCAACCUGUGACCGCUGGGUCAGGAGGGGUCUGAGGAAGAAGAUGCUAAGAUGGGAUUCUGGCUCUGGAUCACCCACUGCCUAGCUGCUGAUAAGGAUCCUUUUGCUGGGGGUAGAUGGAGCGGGUACAUGCCCCCGCACAGAGCAGAGGAUGCCAAGAAAACACAGUGAGGAAAGGAUUAUCUCUUCAGUGUUGGGAAAACUGGAUAUCCACAUGCAGAAGAAUGAAACUGGAACUUUACCUCACAUUAUGUACAAAAAUCAACUAAAAAUAGAUUAAAGACAAAAACCUAAGACUGGAGACUACAAAACUAUUAGAAGAAGAAAACACAGGGGUAAGCUUCUUGACAUUGACCUGGGUAAUGAUUUUUUUGGACACGACACUAAAAGCACAAGCAAAAAGGCAAAAAUAGACAAGUGGACUGCAUCAAACUGAAAAGCUUCUGCACAGCAAAGGAAACAAAAGAGUGGAA